UCAAACUUGGUCAUUUAGAGGAAGUAAAAGUCGUAACAAGGUCUCCGUUGGUGAACCAGCGGAGGGAUCAUUAUAGAGUUCUAAACUCCAAACCUUUGUGAACACAUCAUGUUGCUUCGGCGGGUUUGCGGGUGGCCCAGCGCCCCCGACCGCCCGCCGAGGGCCUUAAACUCUUGUUUUCUAGCGGAAUCUUCUGAGUUACAAACAAUAAAUUAAAACUUUCAGCAACGGAUCUCUUGGCUCUAGCAUCGAUGAAGAACGCAGC
This 265-nucleotide unclassified non-coding RNA is filed under the name uncultured fungus. RNAcentral's name for it is "partial contains small subunit ribosomal RNA, internal transcribed spacer 1, and 5.8S ribosomal RNA". The stretch from base 1 to 73 matches the Rfam family "Eukaryotic small subunit ribosomal RNA", at positions 1759 to 1831 of the family's 1831-position model. Lineage: Eukaryota; Fungi. The record is from RNAcentral.